ACUUAGAGUUUAAUCGUACUAAACCUACGUAUGAAAUAAAAACCCGAACUCUAGUUUUUCCCUAAAUCCCCCGCCGCACUCCCUCUUCCCCGAGCCCUCUCCCUCUCUCACGAUUUUCUCUCUAUUCCAUCGACGAUCUCCCUUCUCUGUCGAGCCAUGGCAGCCGGCUCUCCUCCUCGCGUGAGCACCGCGGCGCCGCCUCCUCUACCCUUACCGAAGCUCUUCUCCCUCACGCGAGCAACCGCCGCCGAUCUUCUCCCUUACACGAGCACCAGUCAGAAAUCUCUCCCUCACGCGAGUACCAGCCGACGAAUAAUGAAGGAGUGGCCUUAGUGAGGAAGAUACCACCCAGAACGGGACGGUAGACUCGGAGGCGGAGUAGCCGAGGAGGUGAGGUCGGAUGCAUCACACUGUCUAGGGGCUCUAAGUGUCAGUUAUUAGUCAUUUCAUAUGAUUGUUAUGGUAGUAUGGGAUGAAGACUACUUGUUAGCUUGCUUCGGUAGGAGGUCACAAAUGUUUCUUUAAAGAUGUGGGCUUUUUUUUCUUUGACGUUUUAUAUGAUUGCAGAAAAAAAAAUAAUUUGGACAAAUGUGUGAUGCAAUGAUGUUUCCUUUAAAUGUGAAGUUUAUGUUUUAGUUCUUAGCAAA
Long non-coding RNA from Zingiber officinale, 647 nucleotides. RefSeq lists it as uncharacterized. NCBI's taxonomy places the organism in Eukaryota, Viridiplantae, Streptophyta, Magnoliopsida, Zingiberales, Zingiberaceae. The transcript is spliced from 2 exons. The record is from RefSeq and is a predicted model, not a curated record.